CUGGUGUUCGGGUUGUCAUGCCAAUGGCACUGCCCGGUAGCUAAAUGCGGAAGAGAUAAGUGCUGAAAGCAUCUAAGCACGAAACUUGCCCCGAGAUGAGUUCUCCCUGAGACUUUAGGUCUCCUGAAGGAACGUUGAAGACGACGACGUUGAUAGGCCGGGUGUGUAAGCGCAGCGAUGCGUUGAGCUAACCGGUACUAAUGAACCGUGAGGCUUAACCUUACAACGCCGAAG
RNAcentral lists this ribosomal RNA (234 nucleotides) under Salmonella enterica. Its description in RNAcentral is "partial 23S ribosomal RNA". It matches the Rfam family "Bacterial large subunit ribosomal RNA", at positions 2709 to 2925 of the family's 2925-position model. Lineage: Bacteria; Pseudomonadati; Pseudomonadota; Gammaproteobacteria; Enterobacterales; Enterobacteriaceae. RNAcentral also lists the same sequence under 2 other names. The record is from RNAcentral.